UUUUAUACGACCGCAAAAAAAUUUUUGUGGUCGUAUAUUGGUAUGACGUUGGCGUCGUCGUCGUCGUCGUCGUCGUCGUCGUCGUCGUCGUCGUCGUCGUCGUCCGAAUACACAUUAGUUUUCGCACUCUAACUUUAGUUUAAGUGAAUGGAUCUCAUUGAAAUUUUACCAUAAGGUUCAAUACCACAAAAGGAAGGUGGGGAUUGAUUUUGGGGGUUAUGGUACUAACAGUUAAGGAAUUAGGGGCCAAAAGGGGCCAAAAAUAAGCAUUUUUGUAACUUCCAGACAUAACUUGUGUGUAAGUGUAUGGAUCUCUCUGACAUUGUACCACAAGGUUUCAUAUCACAAAGGGAAUACUGGGAUUGAUUUUGGGGGUAAUUUCCUCCAAAUAUUAGGAAUUAGGGGCCAAAAAGGGGCAAAAAACAAGCAUUUUUCUAGUUUCAUGACAAUAACUUGUUUGUAAGUGUAUGGAUCUUUAUGAAAUUGUACUACAAUGUUCCAUAUCACAAAGGGAAGGCUGGGAUUGAUUUUGGGGGUUUUCCCUCAAAAUUUUAGUAAUUAGGGGCCAUAAAAGGGCAAAAAAAACAUGCAUUUUUCUAGUUUCAGGACAAUAACUUGUGUGUAAGUGUAUGGAUCUUUAUGAAAUUGUACUGCAAGGUUCCAUAUCACAAAGGGAAAGCUGGAAUUGAGUUUGGGGGUAAUUGCCCUAAACGUUUAGGAAUUUGGGGCCAAAAAGGGGCCAAAAAACAAGCAUUUUUCUAGUUUCCAGACAAUAACUUGUGUUCAAGUGUAUGAAUCUCUCUGAAAUUGUACUGCAAGGUACCAUACCACAAAGGGAAAGCUGGGAUUGAGUUUGGGGGCGAUGAAUCAUAAGGGGGUUCAAAAAAUUGGGGGGGGGGGGGGAUUUUUUUUUUCCUUUUUUUUUCUUUAACAUUUUCCAUUUUAAAUUGGUUAUUUCUGAUUUAUAUAUAAAAGCAAAUAAUAAUGAUAUGGUUUGAAUAGGCAUACAUGUGAACCUCCCGACGGGAGUACAAUAAUCCCGUUUUCAGGGGUCUCCUCCCCCCCUCCCGUUGAAAAAAUCCCGUGUAUGAAAUUUUUCAUGAAUGAAAAAUUUCUGCCCAACAUAACAUCUCAGGCAUCUGGUGUAACUGACAUUACCUGAAGUUAUAUUUUACCUGUAAAUCAAUUAACAUGCAUAAUUAUAUGGCUUCACUUGUCAGCUUGGGUGUCAAACAUACUGGUAAGCAACGAUUUUUACCUCAGGCUAACUGCCGUUGUGUAACAAAAACUGUGUAUUUAUUGGGUUACUUCCCUUGAUUUAUCCUGUUUUAAGUUACUUUCCUUUUAAUAAUGAAAAUUUUUAAAAGAAUAUAAAUAAUAUAUAAAUUGAACAAAUAAUCAUAAAAGGAUGGUUAUUAAAUGAUUUUAAAUGUCUUUGGACAAAUAAAAAAAUAAUAAUUUGAAAAUUAUUUGAGGAUUCUAUACUUCCUUUUAAGGCUUAAAUUGAAAUUUAUAUAAUAACUAUGACCCUAACUUUACAGACUGAAUGAAUUUCUGAGUUUGCAAAUAAAAACUAUUUGCAAGAGAAAAAAAAAAAAUAAAAACUGUUUGCAGACAGCUAAACAAAUGUUCUGGUUGCAAUGAUUGUUUUAUAGAAU
This is a long non-coding RNA of Mytilus californianus (California mussel), 1658 nucleotides long. RefSeq lists it as uncharacterized. Lineage: Eukaryota; Metazoa; Mollusca; Bivalvia; Mytilida; Mytilidae. The transcript is spliced from 2 exons. The record is from RefSeq and is a predicted model, not a curated record.